UACGUAGGGUGCGAGCGUUGUCCGGAAUCAUUGGGCGUAAAGAGCGUGUAGGCGGCCUGAAAGGUCAGCUGUGAAAACUCGAGGCUUAACCUCGAGACGUCGGUUGAAACCAUCUGGCUAGAGUCCGGAAGAGGAGUGUGGAAUUCCCGGUGUAGCGGUGAAAUGCGCAGAUAUCGGGAAGAACACCCGUGGCGAAGGCGGCACUCUGGGACGGUACUGACGCUGAGACGCGAAAGCGUGGGGGAGCGAACAGG
Molecule: ribosomal RNA, 254 nt
Filed under: uncultured bacterium
Lineage: Bacteria
Description: partial 16S ribosomal RNA
Rfam family: Bacterial small subunit ribosomal RNA
Source: RNAcentral